RNA transcript from Pelmatolapia mariae (spotted tilapia), 6313 nucleotides. It is a transcript of the gene named transcription regulator protein BACH1-like, with no coding region annotated. The record is from RefSeq and is a predicted model, not a curated record. The transcript is spliced from 6 exons. Lineage: Eukaryota; Metazoa; Chordata; Actinopteri; Cichliformes; Cichlidae.
AAGCUGUCACAUGACUACACUGAAGUCAGGCUCGGAAUGGCCAGAAGCAUCUGUACCCUAUCCCUAAAUUUACUAAUGGCAGUAUUAUCCAGGUAGCAUGGCAGGCUGAGCUUGUAAGAACUAUGGCGCUCCAAGCUCCUCGCACAUCGGUGUUCACCUUCCAGUCUGCAGUGCACAGCGCCCAUGUUCUGCAGUGUCUGAAUGAGCAGAGACAGCAGGACGUCCUGUGUGAUGUGACGGUGGUGGUGGAAGACAGGAGUUUCCGUGCUCAUUGCUCUGUCUUGGCUUCUUGCAGUGAAUACUUUCACAGCAGGAUCACGAGUGUCACCAGCCAGAAUCCCAUCAUCACCUUGCCACAUGAGGUGACCGUAGAGGGGUUUGAACCUUUGCUUCAAUUUGCCUAUACAUCAAAGCUCCUUUUUACCAAAGAAAACAUUGAUGCUAUUCACAGCAGUGCUGAGGUUUUAGGAUUUCACAACUUGGAGUCGACAUGCUUUGAUUUUCUCAUCCCAAAGUUUUCUGAAAUCAAAAAAUCCUCACAGGUGGUCAAGCAAAAAGUCUGUUGCCAGAACCCGGAUCCUAGUGCAAGUUUUGGCUCUCGUGCAGAGAGUAGCCAACCAGAAUCAUGUGAGUCACACAGCUCAGUGCCUUCAGGAGGUGAUGAACAAAUAGACUUCCCGUCACAGUGUCCACAGAGUGCACAAGGUCAGACAAACAGCAGGGAGGAACACUUCUGUUUGGAGAACUGUGGACCACAAAUGGCCCCCUUAUCUCUGGAGUUAACAGGAAAUGGCAUGUGCCCCAUGUUGUCUCUACCUUGCCCAAACUCUGAGAAAGCAGAUCAUCCGUCUCAGUUUUGUGAAAAAGACAUUUUAGAGAUGGGAGACGUGUGCAAUCAAAGUGAGAUGAGUUUGGCAGACUGCGGCUUAUCCUGUGAGCUGUCAGCCUCAGGGGAUGUGAAUCCACCAAAACUCAUUGAUCCACCAGGCAGAGAAAUUAAACAAACUGUUGAGACGCUUGGUGCAGAAACCAAUUGCAUCCCUAGCUCAUGUCCACUCGAGACUUCAGGGGCAGAAGAUUGCAGUUCUUUAAUAAAACAGAGUGAGGCUCACUUUGAACAGGGAAUGACAGGUGAUCUUUCAAACUCUGCACUGACUACUCUAAGCCAUGAGGAAGGAUAUGGCGAGAGAAGUCGCGUGGAGAGGGAGGUGGCUGAACAUCUGGCAAAAGGAUUCUGGUCCGAGCUCUGCCCGUCUCAGGCUCAGCCACUUCCUGUGGAUCCAGUGGAACAAAAUAAUCUAGCAAAAGCAUCUGACUUUCACUGGCUUAAGCAGCUGGACCUGAGUGCCAGUGUAGGAGACUGUCCCUUUCUCAGGGACCUUGGAACAGGUGAUGAUGCAGCUACACACACCGACAGCUUGUCUCAGGCAGAGAAGAGCCCCUGUAUGUCCUCCUCAAUGAACUCUGCUGAUGACUCAGACCUGGACACAGAUGGUGAUACUGAGGCCAACAACAAAAGAGCGGAAGAGGUUCAGCUUCCAUUCCCAGUGGAGCAAAUCUCAGUGCUGAGCCGGAGUGAAUUUCAGCAGCUUCUGAAAAAACAUUCGUUGACCCAGGAGCAGCUGGACUUUGUCCAUGACGUCCGUAGACGAAGUAAAAACCGUGUGGCUGCACAGCGGUGCCGGAAGAGAAAACUGGACAGCAUAUACAUGCUAGAAUGUGAAAUCAAAGGAUUAAAAAGUGAGAAAGAGCGGCUGCUCCAGGAGCAAACAGAACUGAAGCAAAACCUUGAGGACAUGCAGCAGAGCCUUUGUGGCCUGUGUAAAAGUGUUGAAUCUUGCUCUGAUCAGGACCAGUUACAGAUUCUUUCCAGAUUCUCCUCGCAAGACAUUCCCAUCCCUUCUCCCAACAUUGUUCCAGCAAUUGAAUUGGUAAGUUCAGAGUGUGAGCAGAGCAGGCAAACUGUACAAACAGUUCAAGUCGCUGUGCCGCAGGCCGGCACAGAGGACACGGGCUGCCCUGUUCCUACAUCUCUGCUCAGUGCCUGUCUGGAUAUGAACAGCAGCUUAUAGUCACUGGACUUAAACUACACGGUCACUUGUAAUCAUGCAGGCCCACAGGUCAAAGGGUGAAACUUGGUUCUAUACUGUAAUCCUCUUUUGGGAUAGACAUGCUUUCCUGUGUGUUUCACUAAAUAAUUGUCUGCCUGGUAGAGGCAACUAUCACGUCAGGCAUUUUCUUUGCUGUACUUCUAGUCUUCAUUUUACUGUAGCAAAAAAAUUAACCAGUAUUCAUUGUUUUGAAGGUGCAGGCAAUUUUCAGGUAGUUCCUAAAACUUUCCAUUUGAAAAUUAGGAGGAUAAAAGUAGGUUUGCUUUUCUCAGGGAAGCUCAUAACCUGACCGUAUUUUGAAUCAUGCUGCGCACCCAAACAGGUUGUGUGCACUACCAGAGUUUGGCCAGUCGAUGGAAGUAUAACUCUACCUCACCAGAUGAGACAGACGUGACUAGAGGAACAUAACAGGCUCAGACUGGACCUUUAGGGAGGGUAACUGCACACUGAACUCUAAAUAAGGGAAGGCAAGGAGUUUGUGCUAAUCCACCUGACAGAAAAAUGUGCAAUUUCCUGUUAUCUCAUCAUGCGAUUAAACAAAACUUAUUUCAUUGAGUAAAUGAAAACCCAGUAACAAACCCGGUUUAAAAAACAAACAAACAAAAAAACAAUCUUGUGAUUUAUCUCUGGCUCUUACUAAAAUCUUUUGGCCUUGCCAAAAAAUUAACUUUAACCUUCAAAGUUAAAAAACUUUAACCAACAAAAUUAACAAUACAAGUUCAUGUCUUCAUAAGUUCAUGUCUUUAAAUACAAUAUGUAACAUAGUUGUCUAGAGACUUAGUACUUCUGCAGUGGCUUUGCAAAGAAUAAUUCAGCAGGCUCUAAAAAAUGGUUGAAAUUAAAGACAGAGUCAGAUGGAGGCUGAUAAAUGACCUUAGCACUUUGAAGAGCAAAGGUACCCUGGAAAUCUGCAGACAGGAAAUUUAAAAAAGUACGGCAUAUCUGACAACUAUCCCUGUAAUCCCUGCAGUUUAAACAACUAAGAUUUCAGGGUUAUUCUGUAGAUGCAAGAAAGAUAGCUUUCCUCAAAAAGCACCCGACCAGUCAUUUGAGUUUGUAAAGUUUUUGCCUAUUGGAUAGAAGUGGUAGUUCUACACAAUAAAAACACGUAGCCCCUAUAAAAAUAAAAAGCAACCUGUCGUCUCCUUCACAUAGACAGAUGUUAUUUAAAAAAAAUCCUAAUUGCAUUUUAGCCAUCAACAUAUCCGUUGUUGUCUGUAAAUGGCACACACCUAAGUGUCUACAUGUUUAGGGCAACAUGUAGUCCUUUUGCAGGUAUAGAUGAUGCAGACAACAAUCUUUAAAAUACAUCCCAAAUACACAGUAAACAUUAGGUUUGGAUGUUCUGAGGUUGAUGCUAAGAUGACACAUCAGUCUGCUAGUCAGUGACCCCUCACUUAUAACUGUUGUCAAACAAUCUUUAUGUAAUACUUUAUAAUAAUCAGCCAUUUGCCAAAGCUCACAAAUUCAACAAUGAUACAGCAAGAAUAUUCCAAACAAGGAAAGAAGUGAAUGUUAACCUUAUUGUUUGUUACUAAUUGCCCUUCUUUUACUAUUAUUUCCUCUCUCACUCUUGUAAACACUUAGUUAAAAUUUAUUGCAGUGACACAACCUCCUCAAGGAUCCAUCUGUGAGCAGUAACAUUUAGCAAUCAGUAGCAAUGACUAGUAAUUCAUUUUACUGUCCGUGUUCCAGGCUGCCAAAAGAAAAUUGGGUUGUGCAUUUGUUAAGGUUUAAAUUUUAGGGGCUUAACAAAGCAACAAUCUGAUCCGACACUGGUCUGAGUGCUCCUCUUUCAUUGCAGACUGGAGAGGAUCUUAUAUCAAACAAACCAGUACAGAACAGAAACACCACUUUAAGAAGGUCUUGUAGAGUUGAAGAAGCAAUUUUGUCAAGAUGUUUUUGUCUUCUGAUGUGAAUUAUUAUUUUGUGUCCUUUGAAAUAACUACGGUAGCACUUGGGGACAAUGAAAGAAAAAGCAAUCUCAUUUUGUUUUCCUCAGAACAGAAUCCUCAAGGUUAAAGUGGUAAUUACACCAGCAGCCAUGGAGCAACUCAUAAAACUGGAACCUGUUUUUGAAAAGUAACCUCACACACUGACAAAGAGAUGUCACUCCGAGCACGACAACUGGUUUUCCAUCUAAAAAGCAAAAUGAUUAGAUCAUUAUAAUACUACAGACAUCAGAUAUGAUCUCUGUCCGCUGGAACGAUGCAUCUGUACCAAAUCUUCAAUUUGAUGUGUGUCAGCGUGAAUAUCACCCUCAAAAAAGCACUACAAGCACCUAUUUACAAAUUUCCAUCUUAAAACUCAGGAUUGUUCCACAGUGUUUGUCUUUUAUAUACGGUUCAGAAUUUACAGCAUUGUAGUGCAAGACUAAGAUGAUCCCUCUUUUGCAAGCUACACAGGACGAAAGACUUGAUUUGAGGAGGAAGCAGCUGCGAGGCAUGGCAAGGUCAGAGGCCCAUAAUCCGCGGCCUCAUUCAUGCGAGAUUAAAAACCUGCUCUGAGUUCUGAUUAAGAACGCAGGGUUAGAAGAUUAAAGACCAGCAAACAAAAUGAAAGCAGUUAAAGCCCAAUCCUGGAAUUCAUCAGAAUACCAAAACCUUAAACUGUCAUAAUGUGAGAUUAAUGCAAAGCCCUCUUGACCUCAGUAUCUGUCUUGAUACAUAUUCUGUGUCAUAGCCUAUAUUUCCUUUUUUUGUCCCUAAAAUCUGCAUUCAGACUUUUCUUUGGUGUUGUUUGUUGUUUUUCUUCACCUUCUCAUUUUCUUUGUUCUUAUUUGGGUCAUUUAUUUUUUUAAAUCAAAGUGACAGCUUGAAUUGUCUUAGAUUAUUGUCGAUGUAAUCAUAAAUUCUUUAUUUUUUAUUGUCACACAAUACAUGAUUAUAUUUCCAUAAAGCGUUUAUGUCCCUUUUAUGCAAUGAUUCAAGUCAUUAUCCUCUUGACGGUGGAGUCGUACUACACUCAGGGAGCAAGGAUUAGGAAACAGGAGGGAAAGGGGAAAAAAACAAGAUUAGAAAUUAAAGCAUCUGGAAGUUAGCUUGCUCACAACAUUGCUAAAGGAGAACAUAUAUGCUAAUAACAAUGACAUUGCUCAGUGUAGGACUGCAGAGAGUUUCUUUUUAUGGCACAGAUGCAAAUAAUAUGUAGAAGGUAGCAGGCACCAAUAUUUUAAGCUCGAAUGCAUGAUUAUGGUUGUAAAUAUGACACUUCUUAUCCAUUCUCCUUGUGAGAUAAACACAACAAAGCGCUGAAGAAAAGUUGACAAUUCAAUUUUGGAAUAGCACGCCAACAUGAACCAAGAUCCUUAUUAGAAUAUUGGUCUGAAACCCAGUAAAUAGCAGUUAAUAUCCUGAAAUGUCAAUUAGCAUCUCCAAUGGUGUUUCCAAAAUAGAAACACUGUGAAUGCAAAACUAAUGAGAGAAGAUCUAUAUACCAAUGAUUUUUCUCUAGUUUAAACCCUGGAGAAAGACACAAUACUUGUAUAAUUAAUCCCUGCAUAAGGUCUGUGACCUUCUUGCAGCACCACAUAAGUCUCAUAAGCUACUGUCUCCUAACUGAUUACAUGCUGAAGUGCUGAACUUCAUUUUGGGGGUAGUGCAGAGAAAGGGGCUGUAUCCCAUUGACAGGAUUAUAUGAAUGAGGACCAUAAUACUGUAAUCUCACAGAGAAAUGAGAGGAACAAGGGGACAUGCUGGCCCCAGCUAGGCAGCACCCUGAUCUGCAACCUUCAGAUCAACAGCUGGUUGUACAGUGACAGAUUACACUCACACUUGUUUCUCACCCUAACAAUCCUCCCUGUGUUGAAUUUAGAACACUAUAAGCACAAGAAAGAGUAUUUCAGGACAAAAUCUCACCAUACUGUACCAGAGUAUAUUAUUUUACUAGUCAUGGGGAAAUUGUUAGAAUUUAUCAGUGUCAAAAGACAAGCAGGAAACCAAAGAAAUGAUGCCUUCAAUUCUGCCAAGUACACUGGUUUUUAAUUAACACCACUGUUGUGAGAGAUUCGGCAGAGAGUCUUUUUUUUUCAGCUUAGCUGUGCAGAAAAAAGUCCACAAAGCUUUAAAGGAACCCAUCAACCUUUGAACAAAGACAAACAGAGUAGGUUUUUCAUCCAUUUCAGAUCUUUUAACAAUAUAAAACACAUUUCUAAGAUGUAUUUUAAGUAACAGUAAAAAAGUACACCUAUCUCAAUGACAGAA